This 253-nucleotide ribosomal RNA is filed under the name uncultured bacterium. Its description in RNAcentral is "partial 16S ribosomal RNA". It matches the Rfam family "Bacterial small subunit ribosomal RNA", at positions 524 to 776 of the family's 1533-position model. The record is from RNAcentral.
UACGAAGGGGGCUAGCGUUGCUCGGAAUCACUGGGCGUAAAGCGCACGUAGGCGGAUUGCUAAGUCAGGGGUGAAAUCCUGGAGCUCAACUCCAGAACUGCCUUUGAUACUGAAGAUCUUGAGUCCGGGAGAGGUGAGUGGAACUGCGAGUGUAGAGGUGAAAUUCGUAGAUAUUCGCAAGAACACCAGUGGCGAAGGCGGCUCACUGGCCCGGUACUGACGCUGAGGCACGAAAGCGUGGGGAGCGAACAGG